ACCUGGCUGGUUCAGUUGGAAGAGCAUGUGACUCUUGAUCUCUGGUCAUGAGUUCAAGCCCCUUGUUGGGUA
This 72-nucleotide transfer RNA is filed under the name Felis catus (domestic cat). It matches the Rfam family "tRNA". Rfam says of the family: Transfer RNA (tRNA) molecules are approximately 80 nucleotides in length. Their secondary structure includes four short double-helical elements and three loops (D, anti-codon, and T loops). Lineage: Eukaryota; Metazoa; Chordata; Mammalia; Carnivora; Felidae. RNAcentral also lists the same sequence under 6 other names. The record is from Rfam by way of RNAcentral.